GUCUACGACCAUGCCACCCUGAACAAGCCCGAUCCCGUCUGAUCUCAAGCUAAGCACGGUCGGGCCUGGUUAAUAUUGGGAUGGGAGACCACCUGGGAAGACCAGGUACUGUAGGCG
Molecule: ribosomal RNA, 117 nt
Filed under: Pteropus alecto (black flying fox)
Lineage: Eukaryota; Metazoa; Chordata; Mammalia; Chiroptera; Pteropodidae
Source: RNAcentral